Molecule: transfer RNA, 76 nt
Filed under: Glycomyces paridis
Lineage: Bacteria; Bacillati; Actinomycetota; Actinomycetes; Glycomycetales; Glycomycetaceae
Also listed under: 1 other name
Description: tRNA-Trp
Rfam family: tRNA
About the family: Transfer RNA (tRNA) molecules are approximately 80 nucleotides in length. Their secondary structure includes four short double-helical elements and three loops (D, anti-codon, and T loops). Further hydrogen bonds mediate the characteristic L-shaped molecular structure. tRNAs have two regions of fundamental functional importance: the anti-codon, which is responsible for specific mRNA codon recognition, and the 3' end, to which the tRNAs corresponding amino acid is attached (by aminoacyl-tRNA synthetases). tRNAs cope with the degeneracy of the genetic code in two manners: having more than one tRNA (with a specific anti-codon) for a particular amino acid; and 'wobble' base-pairing, i.e. permitting non-standard base-pairing at the 3rd anti-codon position.
Source: RNAcentral
AGGAGUGUGGCGCAAUUGGUAGCGCAUCGGUCUCCAAAACCGAGGGUUGCAGGUUCGAGUCCUGUCACUCCUGCAA